Molecule: ribosomal RNA, 386 nt
Filed under: Mytilus sp. AU3
Lineage: Eukaryota; Metazoa; Mollusca; Bivalvia; Mytilida; Mytilidae
Description: partial 16S ribosomal RNA
Rfam family: Bacterial large subunit ribosomal RNA
Source: RNAcentral
GGCGUUAACGUGAGCGUCCUAAGGUAGCGCGAUAAUUUGCUUUUCAAUUGAAGGAUGGUAUGAAAGGGUUAACGAAGAAGGUGCUGUGUCUAAAAAUUUAAUUUAAACUAACUUUAAGGUGAAGAGGCCUUUAUGUAAAAGAAGGACGACAAGACCCUAUGAAGCUUUAUCUUAAUUGGAGCUUUCAGGCUCGCAUACGAUUUUGAUGGGAAUCAGUAGAAAUAAGUCUUCUACUAUUAUAUUAAUCUUACUAGUAUUUCCUAACUUUAUAUGUGUGGCUAGCUACUCUAGGGAUAACAGCGCAAUUUCUCCCGAAAGAUGGUAUUGGAGGGGAAGAUUGCGACCUCGAUGUUGGCUUUAGAUACCCUAGAGGCGUAGAAGCUUCU